This 492-nucleotide ribosomal RNA is filed under the name uncultured bacterium. RNAcentral's name for it is "partial 16S ribosomal RNA". It matches the Rfam family "Bacterial small subunit ribosomal RNA", at positions 29 to 507 of the family's 1533-position model. The record is from RNAcentral.
AGUGAACGCUGGCGGUAGGCCUAACACAUGCAAGUCGAACGGCAGCACAGUAAGAGCUUGCUCUUACGGGUGGCGAGUGGCGGACGGGUGAGGAAUACAUCGGAAUCUACUUUUUCGUGGGGGCUAACGUAGGGAAACUUACGCUAAUACCGCAUACGACCUACGGGUGAAAGCAGGGGAUCUUCGGACCUUGCGCGAUUGAAUGGGCCGUUGUCGGAUUAGCUAGUUGGCGGGGUAAAGGCCCACCAAGGCGACGAUCCGUAGCUGGUCUGAGAGGAUGAGCAGCCACACUGUAACUGAGACACGGUCCAGACGCCUACGGGAGGCAGCAGUGGGGAAUAUUGGACAAUGGGCGCAAGCCUGAUCCAGCCAUACCGCGUGGGUGAAGAAGGCCUUCGGGUUGUAAAGCCCUUUUGUUGGGAAAGAAAAGCAGCAGGUUAAUACCCCGCUGUUCUGACGGUACCCAAAGAAUAAGCACCGGCUAACUUCGUG